UACGGGGGGGGCAAGCGUUGUUCGGAAUUACUGGGCGUAAAGGGCGCGUAGGCGGCAACUCAAGUCAGCUGUGAAAUCUCCGAGCUUAACUCGGAACGGUCAGCUGAUACUGUUUUGCUAGAGUGCAGAAGGGGCAAUCGGAAUUCUUGGUGUAGCGGUGAAAUGCGUAGAUAUCAAGAGGAACACCUGAGGUGAAGACAGGUUGCUAGGCUGACACUGACGCUGAGGCGCGAAAGCCAGGGGAGCAAACGGG
RNAcentral lists this ribosomal RNA (253 nucleotides) under uncultured bacterium. RNAcentral's name for it is "partial 16S ribosomal RNA". It matches the Rfam family "Bacterial small subunit ribosomal RNA", at positions 524 to 776 of the family's 1533-position model. The record is from RNAcentral.